Molecule: ribosomal RNA, 446 nt
Filed under: uncultured bacterium
Lineage: Bacteria
Description: partial 16S ribosomal RNA
Rfam family: Bacterial small subunit ribosomal RNA
Source: RNAcentral
CCUACGGGGGGCAGCAGUGGGGAAUAUUGCACAAUGGGGGAAACCCUGACCGAGCAACGCCGCGUGAACGAAGAAGUCCUUCGUAAUGUAAAGUUCUUUUAACAGGGAAGAAAGAGAAAUUUUACGGUACCUGAAGAAUAAGCUCCGGCUAACUACGUGCCAGCAGCCGCGGUCAUACGUAGGGAGCGAGCGUUAUCCGGAUUGAUUGGGCGUAAAGGGUGCGUAGAUGGCAUAGUAAGUCUUUUGUAAAAAUGCUGGGCUAAACCCAGUAGGGCAAAAGAUACUGGAAAGCUAGAGUAUGACAGAGGGAAGUGGAACUACAUGUGUAGCGGUAAAAUGCGUAAAUAUAUGUAAGAACACCAGUGGCGAAGGCGGCUUGCUGGGUCGAUACUGACAUUGAGGCGCGAAAGCGUGGGGAGCAAACAGGAUUAGAUACCCGGGUAGUC